UACAGAGGGUGCGAGCGUUGUCCGGAAUCACUGGGCGUAAAGGGUGAGUAGGUGGCCUGUUAAGCGUGUGGUGAAAGCCUGGGGCUCAACCCCAGGUCUGCCGUGCGAACUGACAGGCUUGAGCAGAGUAGAGGCGAGUGGAAUUUCGGGUGUAGCGGUGGAAUGCGUAGAUAUCCGAAAGAACACCGGUGGCGAAGGCGACUCGCUGGACGGCAACUGACGCUGAGGCACGAAAGCGUGGGGAGCAAACAGG
Molecule: ribosomal RNA, 253 nt
Filed under: uncultured bacterium
Lineage: Bacteria
Description: partial 16S ribosomal RNA
Rfam family: Bacterial small subunit ribosomal RNA
Source: RNAcentral